GUUUUUAACUGUAUUUUAUUUUCGUAGCGAUUGCUGUACAUUUAUUCAGCGAUGUACAGCAAUCGCUACGAAAAUAAAAUACAGUUAAAAACAAACAAA
This is a non-coding RNA of Pelobates cultripes (western spadefoot toad), 99 nucleotides long. The record is from the annotation of a GenBank genome assembly. NCBI's taxonomy places the organism in Eukaryota, Metazoa, Chordata, Amphibia, Anura, Pelobatidae.